This 374-nucleotide ribosomal RNA is filed under the name uncultured eukaryote. RNAcentral describes it as "partial 18S ribosomal RNA". It matches the Rfam family "Eukaryotic small subunit ribosomal RNA", at positions 592 to 976 of the family's 1831-position model. The record is from RNAcentral.
CAAUAGCGUAUAUUUAAGUUGUUGCAGUUAAAAAGCUCGUAGUUGGAUUUCGGUUGAGAACGGCCGGUCCGCCGUUUGGUGUGCACUGGCUGGUUUCAACUUCCUGUAGAGGACGCGCUCUGGCUUCACGGCUGGACGCGGAGUCUACGUGGUUACUUUGAAAAAAUUAGAGUGUUCAAAGCGGGCUUACGCUUGAAUAUUUCAGCAUGGAAUAACACUAUAGGACUCCUGUCCUAUUUCGUUGGUCUCGGGACGGGAGUAAUGAUUAAGAGGAACAGUUGGGGGGCAUUCGUAUUUCAUUGUCAGAGGUGAAAUUCUUGGAUUUAUGAAAGACGAACUUCUGCGAAAGCAUUUGCCAAGGAUGUUUUCAUUAA